GUAGGGUGCGAGCGUUAAUCGGAAUUACUGGGCGUAAAGCGUGCGCAGGCGGUUUUGUAAGACAGGCGUGAAAUCCCCGAGCUCAACUUGGGAAUGGCGCUUGUGACUGCAAGGCUAGAGUAUGUCAGAGGGGGGUAGAAUUCCACGUGUAGCAGUGAAAUGCGUAGAGAUGUGGAGGAAUACCGAUGGCGAAGGCAGCCCCCUGGGACGUCACUGACGCUCAUGCACGAAAGCGUGGGGAGCAAACAGGAUUAGAUACCCUGGUAGUCCACGCCCCUAAACGGUGUCAACUAGUUGUUGGGGAUUCAUUUCUUCAGUAACGUAGCUAACGCGUGAAGUUGACCGCCUGGGAGUACGGUCGCAAGAUUA
This 369-nucleotide ribosomal RNA is filed under the name uncultured organism. Its description in RNAcentral is "partial 16S ribosomal RNA". It matches the Rfam family "Bacterial small subunit ribosomal RNA", at positions 527 to 896 of the family's 1533-position model. The record is from RNAcentral.